GUAAGGACAGUGUAGCUAACAGACCCAGUACACACUGUAAUGAUAUGCUGUUCGUAAGGACAGUGUAGCUAACAGACCCGGUACACACUGUAAUGAUAUGCUGUUCGUAAGGACAGUGUAGCUAACAGACCCAGUACACACUGUAAUGAUAUGCUGUUCGUAAGGACAGUGUAGCUAACAAAUUGUCAACCAACAUAACGUGUAACAUAUUUGAAAAGUCAUGACUUUAUUACAUUGCUCAACAUUUGUUAACAUUUGUCAUAAUUAGUUAAAGCGACGCAUUUGUAUCUGCUCUCGUCGGACUUCAGCUGCAUAUUUUCCACAAUUUUAUUCAAAUCUGAAAACUUUGAAGCCACGCCCCUUUUCGGAAGAAUUGCAUUAUGGGCCCUGAAAGCACGGAAAUAGUGUCCACUGCAUGCAUACUUCGUAUUUUGGCAAAUGUAGUACGACAUCCGGGAACUUUAAGCAUCAGGGAAAAUAUUCCAUUCCAAUACUAACUAUAUCCAUACUAUGACUAAUAAGCACACUACAUACUCAAUUUAUGUCACAAAUAGUACGGUUAGUGCGGUCAGUGUGAGUAUUCGAACACCAGCUAGAGACUGUGAGAUCUGGUAGGUUUCGGCAGCCAAGAUAACAAGCAACACCAGGCACAAGAGCCGCGUGCUCAGAUCAGGCACCACAUUACUCGCCAAUCAAUCGAGAACUGAGCCCCGAGUGACCGCUAUAACCGUUUUAUAACGGGCCUGUCGCCCCCAUAUGACUGCGGCCUGUCUGUGUUACGAGAGAAGUGUUGUUGAAAUGCCUUUAUGCAACUCAGGAGUCAGAAGUACAGAUGGUUUCGCAGAGAUCAAUGUAUGCUCCGAUCUGGGGUCCUAUUGUAGCGGAGAGCAGUCACGAGAAGGAGUAUUUGGGUUUUGCCACCCUCCCCAACCAGGUCCACAGGAAGUCAGUGAAGAAGGGGUUUGACUUUACCCUCAUGAUGUUAGUUGAGGAGGAUGCAGGAGAUGCUUCAGAAGAUGCAACAUGAGCAGGUCCUGUGAGCGCUGAUCCUUUACCUUUCACCCCAGAGCUUCUACCUCGCUCCUCUCACCUAAUGAUGUGUGGGAGGAGUAUCACAGGGUCAAUCACAUGCUGGCCAAUCACACACUGCCACCUGACCACUGCCUCUAAAUCGUAAACAUUCAUUGGAGUUCUAUACAGUACAGUUCUGUUUGAACUUUCUGUAAUUGUUACUCCCUCUUCUGAAUAUGUUCAUGUCUCCGAUCACUAACAGAGAAACUGGACACGUGGUAAAACCAACACUAAACACUCUCCAAACCGUGGACAUUAUAGGUCGGCCACACCCUACAUUGGAGUUUGACUUUUAAACAGGGUCAAGCAUUUUGUCAAUGUUUUGUUGGUGUUGUGAAAAACCAAGAAACGGCGUUCUGUUGGAUACCGUUAGAAGCCAAGACUGGAGCCAAGCUUUGUAGCGCUGUAGUGGAUUUGCACCUUAGAUUGCAGUUGAUGUCCGAGCCACUUUUUGUGUAUUCAAGGGAAGUUAUUUAGUACUUAAUAAGGCUGUUUAUGAUUAUGGUUGAAUAUGUAUUUUGCAUUCUACCUGAUCACACAGAAUGUUGGCCAGAUGAAUUUAUUCUGUUUCUAACAUUGUGUUCCAUGUUAUUCAUUUUAAUCGAUGGCAUCUUUGCAUGAGUAAAAGUGAGCAUGUGAAAUUGUGAGUGUAAGUGUGUGUGUGUUUAUAGUUGUGUGUGUGGGAGAAAUAGAGAGAUUUUGUCUCUGUCAGAAACAUAGACCACAGUGCCAUUUCCUGUCCGACAGAAGUUAUGAAACGAACCAAAGUUUUAAGCGAGACUAAAUAUGCAAUUUCCUUUUAGUCCAUUGACAGACUGAGGCUUUCUAAAGCACCACUUCUGUCUAUGAGGGCUCUCUUACGGAACCGGGGCAAAGUGUUACAGCACAAUCAAUACUCUGACAGUCUACUUUAGAUUUACAUUAGAUGAAGAAUCAUUAGAUCAAACUCAAAUGAAAAACUAUAUAGGACCAGAACCCAUCCACUUGACAAGAUUGCAUUACACCCUUUAAGUGUGUGUGUGUGUGUGUGUGUGUGUGUGUGUGCCUGUGUGUCAGUGGUGGUGAGGUUUAGCCUGUAUGUUGGUCCAUCCCAUUGUUGUACGCUACAUAGAUGAGUAGAUAUGUCAGCAUGAUCAAGGUUGUGUCCACACAGACACAGUGAUGUCUCACACUGGUGCUCGUCACAAAAUAAAAGCCCACCGCUGUACCUUUGAUGCUCACUAAUAUUACUGUGUGUUAUUGGGUGUGUGGCUUAGCAUCGGACAGUGUUUUACCCCUGAUACAUGGCUGUGCCGUGUGAAACCUCAACAAAUAGUCUCAUCGUAGGUUACUGUACACUGUGAAAAUGCAGUCCAGUCUGUUUUGUUCAGUGCUGGUUAAUCUACUACGUCAUCAUAACACAUCGUUUGGGACCUGCCAUCUAUUCGUACGCAGUCCCUCUGGAUGAACUUGCUCAUAGACACUCAUCUAAGGUCAGCUUUAUGUUUCCCCCCUCUAAUGGGGUUAGGAUUUGGUGAAGGUAAACUGACUCUAGAUCUGUGCCUAAGGACAACUGCUUUGCCUGUCUGUGAGGAUGAGACGAGGCCUGUCGUCCCCUAUCACAGGUAAAAACGUGAUUCACGUAUGGUUGAUUAUGAGCCAAAACAGUAGGGAGAAAGGCAACCUGUCUAGUUAUUCUAGGGUUGGUAUUCAGGGAGAAAAUGUCCUUGUUCACUCUUCUGUUAUAGGUCCUGUGUAUGGAAUCUAUUUUUCCCACUGUUCUUUCAGGCUAACGCAGACCAAGACACUGGGACCUACACAGAUUUACUGAAACCAAAUCUUUUGGAUUUUUAUAACAAAACUCUGAGAAAAAUGGAGGAAAAGUCUGAAUCCAACUAUGAAAGAGGUGAGUCCCUCAGUUACUUUCUCAUUUAGCAUACAUGUACAACCGAUUUAGUACACCAGUACAGCACCCUUACCCAUUGAGAUGUAUAUACAAUAAGUUCUGCAAUACAUACAUUUUGUAUAAGUCCUGUUGCUACUGUAAGGUUCUGUAUUUAUUUUCUUAGUCAACCUUGUGUUCUGUUUCGUUGUGUUCUUGAACGUAGCCCUGCCUUUCAUUUUUGUUAAUUGAUUUCACCUGUGU
Long non-coding RNA from Oncorhynchus tshawytscha (Chinook salmon), 3196 nucleotides. RefSeq lists it as uncharacterized. NCBI's taxonomy places the organism in Eukaryota, Metazoa, Chordata, Actinopteri, Salmoniformes, Salmonidae. The record is from RefSeq and is a predicted model, not a curated record. The transcript has 4 exons.